GGGAGUGUGGCGGAAUGGUAGACGCUGCGGACUUAAAAUCCGCUGUUGGUAAAACGACGUGGGGGUUCAAGUCCCCCCACUCCCA
This 85-nucleotide transfer RNA is filed under the name Spirulina sp. SIO3F2. RNAcentral's name for it is "tRNA-Leu". It matches the Rfam family "tRNA". From Rfam's summary of the family: Transfer RNA (tRNA) molecules are approximately 80 nucleotides in length. Lineage: Bacteria; Bacillati; Cyanobacteriota; Cyanophyceae; Spirulinales; Spirulinaceae. The record is from RNAcentral. RNAcentral also lists the same sequence under 1 other name.